This 33-nucleotide non-coding RNA is filed under the name unclassified sequences. RNAcentral describes it as "L31-Firmicutes ribosomal protein leader". It matches the Rfam family "L31-Firmicutes ribosomal protein leader". The record is from RNAcentral.
CUUUGGCAAAAGUAAGUGCCAAGGCGAAAGGAG